UUUCGUAGGUGAACCUGCGGAAGGAUCAUUAAUAAAUUUUUUUUGAAAUAAAAAAAAAAUAAUAAUCAUCCUACCCUUUGUGAAUUUGUUUUGUUGAAUAAUUUUUUAAAAUUAUUUAUUGUCUAUCCAAGUUGGAAAGUUGUAAAGACUGAAGACUUGGAGCGGCAUAAAUAAAUUUAAAGACUUUUUUCUAAAAUUAAACUUUUGUAUUCAUUUGUCUAAAAUAAUUUUUAUAAUAUAUAAAAACAACUUUUGACAUGGAUCUCUUGGUUCUCGCAACGAUGAAGAACGCAGCAAAAUGCGAUAAGUAAUGUGAAUUGCAGAAUACGUGAAUCAUCGAAUCUUCGAACGCAUAUUGCACUUUUUUAGUUUACUAAAAAGUAUGUCUGUUUGAGUAUCAGUAAAAUAUUCUCAUAAAAUUUUUUAAUUUAUGGUUAUGAGUGUUUUACAACGAUAAACAAGUUGUUUCACUUUAAAUUGAAUUUUUUGAAGAAAUUCUUUAAUUCAAAUUAAAUUUGGAUAAAAUUUUCCCGUAAAAAGGAAUAACUAUACAAGUUUAAUAAGAAUUUAGUGAUUUCUUUUAUGAAAAGGAAAUUUAUUAAAUAACUUGAUCUCAAAUCAGAUAAGAGUACCCGCUGAACUUAAGCAUAUCAAUAAGCGGAGGAAAAGAAACUAACAAGGAUUCCCCUAGUAACGGCGAGUGAAGCGGAAGAGCUCAAAUUUGAAAUCUUAAAGGGUUUCCCUUUACGAAUUGUAGUUUAAAGAAGUGUUUUCUGUUGAGGUUUUGGUAAAAGUUCUUUGGAAUAGGACAUCAUAGAGGGUGAGAAUCCCGUAUUUGACCUUUACUUUCAACUUUGUGAUACACUUUCAAAGAGUCGGAUUGUUUGGGAAUGCAGUCCAAAAUGGGUGGUAAAUUUCAUCUAAAGCUAAAUAUUGGCGAGAGACCGAUAGCGAACAAGUACCGUGAGGGAAAGAUGAAAAGAACUUUGAAAAGAGAGUUAAACAGUACGUGAAAUUGUCAAAAGGGAAGCGUUUGACACCAGUGUUGUUUUUCUGAAAAUCAAUUAAAGAACUGUUUAUGCUAAGUUGUUUAGACUUUAUCAGCUAACUGUUUAGUUUUGAGCUUUUCUUUAAUGCACUUUUCAGUUAACAAGUCAACAUCAAUUUCUUUUGCUGUAAAAAAGCUUGAGGAAGGUGGCUUGAGAUUCGUCUUAAGUGUUUAUAGCCUCUUGCCUAUGCAGUCGGAGAGAUUGAGGUCUGCAGCGUAGAUCCUUCGGGGCUAAAUGCAUUUGUGCUAAGUUAUAGCAUUUUAUAGACAACUUGUUGACUAUGAUUGUCUUGUAGCUUACUCGCUUAUGUUAUUU
This 1364-nucleotide unclassified non-coding RNA is filed under the name uncultured Neocallimastigales. RNAcentral's name for it is "partial contains small subunit ribosomal RNA, internal transcribed spacer 1, 5.8S ribosomal RNA, internal transcribed spacer 2, and large subunit ribosomal RNA". The stretch from base 609 to 1364 matches the Rfam family "Eukaryotic large subunit ribosomal RNA", at positions 1 to 617 of the family's 3401-position model. Lineage: Eukaryota; Fungi; Neocallimastigomycota; Neocallimastigomycetes; Neocallimastigales. The record is from RNAcentral.